RNAcentral lists this ribosomal RNA (301 nucleotides) under uncultured bacterium. Its description in RNAcentral is "partial 16S ribosomal RNA". It matches the Rfam family "Bacterial small subunit ribosomal RNA", at positions 509 to 807 of the family's 1533-position model. The record is from RNAcentral.
CAGUAGCCGCGGUAAUACGUAGGUGGCAAGCGUUGUCCGGAAUUAUUGGGCGUAAAGCGCGCGCAGGUGGUUUAAUAAGUCUGAUGUGAAAGCCCACGGCUCAACCGUGGAGGGUCAUUGGAAACUGUUAAACUUGAGUGCAGGAGAGAAAAGUGGAAUUCCUAGUGUAGUGGUGAAAUGCGUAGAGAUGUGGAGGAACACCAGUGGCGAAGGCGACUCUCUGGUCUGUAACUGACACUGAGAGACGAAAGCCAGGGGGGCGAACGGGAUUAGAUACCCCUGUAGUCCCUGUCUCUUAUAC